CAUUUCCAUUCCUUAUAUGCAAAUGAACGGGGCGUGGUUAGCUCACAGGUCCAGAGACCCAGACCAAAGCAACAGCACCACACUGACUACUCGAGAAGAGGAAGAAAAUGGAGGAGAAGGACUAUAAGGCAAACUACUAAAUGAAAAUAACAACAUGGAAGACGUCGGUGGGCUCCAAGACUUAACUGGUUCUUAUCUGGUCUUCUCUGGUCUUAUCUGGUCCGCCCAAUGCUGCUCUUCUGAGAGCAACCGCUCUGACAGCUCUCUCUAGUCUCUACUGGGAAACAGCUAAAAGUCCUUCUGGAGGCUUUGCAUUUGAACUCCUAUGACUGGUUGCGGACUUGAAGGGAACGCCUUCCUGACAUCCAGGAAAAAGUUUUAUUGGACAGGCAGUAGAGAUCUACUGGAAACAGUGGAGAGGGAGGAGAUGAUAUGCAGCAUACGGCCC
This is a long non-coding RNA of Gymnodraco acuticeps, 448 nucleotides long. RefSeq lists it as uncharacterized. The record is from RefSeq and is a predicted model, not a curated record. NCBI's taxonomy places the organism in Eukaryota, Metazoa, Chordata, Actinopteri, Perciformes, Bathydraconidae. The transcript has 3 exons.